Molecule: ribosomal RNA, 253 nt
Filed under: uncultured bacterium
Lineage: Bacteria
Description: partial 16S ribosomal RNA
Rfam family: Bacterial small subunit ribosomal RNA
Source: RNAcentral
UACGUAGGGUGCAAGCGUUAAUCGGAAUUACUGGGCGUAAAGCGUGCGCAGGCGGUGAUGUAAGACAGUUGUGAAAUCCCCGGGCUCAACCUGGGAACUGCAUCUGUGACUGCAUCGCUGGAGUGCGGCAGAGGGGGAUGGAAUUCCGCGUGUAGCAGUGAAAUGCGUAGAUAUGCGGAGGAACACCGAUGGCGAAGGCAAUCCCCUGGGCCUGCACUGACGCUUAUGCACGAAAGCGUGGGGAGCAAACAGG